CCACCCCUCCUACCCUGCUGAGGUCAGCGCCUGAGCACCCUCGCCCACCAGAGGCUGAGGAGAGGUGACUUUGAUGAGUGGAGAGACGGCCGAGGGGCGUGGCCAUGUCCCACAGCAGGUGAGUGGCAGGAGGAAGAAUGGUUUCUGGGCCCAAGGAGCCAGACCUCGCCCUCCAACCCCACCCUGCAGGCAGAGCCGAAGCUGGACUCCCGCCCAAAUGCCAGUGCAGGGAACAGCACCCCGGGGUGGGCAGGAGCCUCGAUUUCCCUGCUUGGAAAGUGGACUUUGGCACUCUCCCGCUGCGAGGGCCUCUGGGGGCACCUUGCAGGGCCGGAGUGGGGAGGGCUGGGGGCGGGGCACCACCCCACCGUCUUGGGUUUCGGGUGGAGGCAUCUUGCUAUUUCUGGACAUCUCAGCUGCUGCUGGCGCCUUAUAAAUAACCCAGCCCUGGCACCCUCCGGGGGCCGACAGGUGCUACCCCCCCACAGGCCCUGCAGCCCCUCACUACCCCCCCAGAGGGGCCCCUGGAUGAGUCAACAUGGCAGCAGCCAGUGGGGGGACUGGGCGGGAUGCAGGGAAGAGCGGGCUGUAGCCUCUACGUGGCCUGGUCGUCCUGGGGGCUUGGAGGGCAGCUCCCACCUGAGACCACGCUGGGGGUGGGGGGAGUUAUAGAGCCCAGGUUUGCCUGUGGGCUGUGAGAUGCCGUGACGGAGCUCAUCUGGCCAAACCCCGGCCGACACGGUGCAGGCGUGUGGGGCAGCCGGCUGGUCCCGGGCGCCAGCGGACCCCGCACCAGCGCCCCCAGAUGGGGGACGCCUGCCUGCCCCCACCGGGGGCUUCCUGUAGAUGGUGACAAAUACAAGAGCAUCUGUAGGGCCUGGGAGAGCUGGGGCUCCGCCCACCCGGUCCCCAGGGGCACACAUGGGCCUCCCCCAAGGGCUCUGGGCUGGGAGCAGCACAGAGCUCGGGCUUCAGCCUCCAGGUGUGGUGGAGAAGGGGACAAGAGAACAGAGCCACGGCCACGCCCUGUGGCUUUGGAAGAGUGGCCCACUGAGAGAGGCCCCCAAGAAGCAGGUGUCAGCUUCCAUCAGGGCGCCCCCAGCACCCCCAGCAGCAGGACAGGCCCUGGAUGGAGCCACCCCCUCUGGCUCCUCCUGGAGCUCCCGGGCCCCCCGCUGCAGGCCGGGGACCAGAAUGUGGGGUGCAGAGGGCUGGGAGCGGCCUGAUGAGGCCUCCCCGAGAGCAUGGGGUGGACCUGCCCAGGCAGAGUGGACCUGCACCCCUGCCCGCUGCAACCCCCUCCAGGGCCUCCCCUCCACCUCCAGGGGAGCAGCUCUAAGCCUCCACCCCGUGGGCCCUGUCUCCACAGCAGCAGCCGGCAGCCAGCAGCCACCAUGUCUGACGAGGAAGUUGAACACGUUGAGGAGCAGUAUGAAGAGGAAGAAGAGGCCCAGGAGGAAGCUCCCAGCCCUGCAGAAGUCCAUGAGCCAGCCCCCGAAGUUCAUGUACCAGGUAUGUGACGCGCCUCCCCCGCCACGUGGCACGCAUGGCCACGGGGGCGCGUGCAGGAGCCGGGCAAGAAGGAACAAGGGCCGCGUAACCUACUCACAGCCUGGCUCUGCUCGGACCCCGCCCCUCCGCCCUCCCCCCCUUCCCUCCCCCACUCUCCCCACUCGGCCUGCUCACUCCUGGUUCUCUCUCUCUCUCUGCCCUCCAUGGUGCUGCUCCACAGAGGAAGUCCACGAAGGUAGGCCCCCCCCACUGCAUGCACCUGUUCCCCCUCCCCCCGUGAAGCCUCUGGACUGGACACAGAGUGGGACGGUGCAGCCUGGAGCAAUGGCCCAGGGCGCCUGGCUGGCACGGGCAGGCUCUGUGCCCCUGGCAGGGAGCAGUCGGAGCCGGGAGCAGCAGGGCCCCUCCUGGGCAGCAGCAGGGAGGCGGAAGGAGCAGGACGGGCAGUGCUGAGGCCAGGGUAUCCGUUGGGACCCUCGGGGUCUGCCAGGGUGGGGGUGGGGAGGAGCAGAGGGGGCAAAGGGGGAAGGUGGCCUCCACCUGGUUCUGGACCAGACCAGUGGAGGGGAGCAGAGCGGGUGAGGCCGCAGGGCAGUGCAGGGCCGGGGGGGAGAGGCAGCAGGUCAGGCUGAGGCCCAGGGGGGGACGCUGGGGACCCGGCGUGGCCGAGGGCAUGCGUGCAAACGCCCAGUGCUUCAGGCCCUGCAUCUCUCCUGCCAGACACACCUGGGCGGGCGGGAGGGGCCCCAGGGCGGGGGCUGCUGGGCAGAGGGAAGGCAGAGUCCAGUCAGGGGCCCUGGUGCAGGGCUAUUAGACCCCUGUGGGCACAGCCGCAGUCCCCGAGGCAGCAAGGGUCCUCCCCACUGGGCCUGAGUUCCCCCCGAGGGUGAGAGCAUUGUGUGUGCAUGGACAGUGACCAGCCACAGCCCCCAGCUGUGCCCGGGCCGGGCCGGGCCAGGCCGGGACCUCCCCAGGGAACCCAGGGCGUGGAUGGCCCUGUCCAAGGAAGCGGCACCCGUGGACAGAGGCAGGGUCAGCCCAGGCAGUGUGCAGGCCUGGAGGAGCUGUGGAGCCGUGGUCCACAGAGGCCUGGCCCGGCCUCCUCAGAGCUAGAGGGGAGAGAAAGCCGAGGCCGUGCAUGGAGCUGGCCUGGGCUUGGGGGAGAGAGGCUGUCUAGGCGUGGCCUCGGGGCUGCCCCCGGAUGGAAGGACCUUGAAGGCAGGGGUCAGGGUCUUAGGCAUGGUCCAGGGCGGAGGCUGGGCCCCGUGUUGCAGGAGGUGGAGGUGGUCUCGGACUCGCUGGGGCACUGCCAGCCAGGGCCCUGGGACCCCGCCAUUCACGGCCAGGCCAUCCCGAGCGGGGGUCCUCAUUGGCACCCAGCUGCGCCCACCCUGUCCCCAGACAGAAGUCGCCAGCCCGGGCCAGGGGCGCUCCUGGGGCCAGGCCUGGGCGCGGGGCAGGGGAGGGGGGCGCCCGCUGCUCUGCUCGCGUGGCCGGACGCUGCCCGCAGCCGCGGCUUUUGUCUCGCACGUGCGCUUGUGCCUCGCGCCACGAAGACGCCCUCGAGGACGUGCGGGAGGAGGAGGAGGAAGGUGAGAGCCCGCUGUCCCCGUAGCGGCCGGCCGGCUCUGCCCCCUGCUCUGCGGCCUGGCCUCGCCGCUUCGCCCGCGUGCGCCUUGGCCCCCCCGCCCCCUUCCCUCGUCUUUCCUGUGUUCCUUGCCCCUCUGUGUCUCCACCCCAAGCCCCUCUCCUGUGACCCUGGAGUGAGACAAGACCCUCUUGUUUCUCGAGGCCCCGGAGGGAAAGGGUGGGCUCAGCUGAAGAGGCAGGCGGCCCCGCGGGUGGGAACCCAGUAGGCCCCCACCUGCAGCCCCCCGCCCGUCUCUCACCUGCUCUCUCUCUCCCCCUCCCCAUGCCGCAUCGUUGGGGUCUCCAGAAGAGAAGCCAAGACCCAAGUGAGUACCAGCGUGGCCCAGGGCUGGGGUGCGAGGGGAGAAGCCCAGGUGUACAGGACGGGUGAUGCUGAGGUGGCCCAGAACACUGACUGGGGAGGCCCAGGGCAAGCCAGGAGGGCUUCCUGCAAGAGGAGGCUACAGCCAAAGCGAGGAGGGGUCCAGCAGGGUGGGUGUCAGCGGGAGGAAGGAAGAGGCGGGAGCAGAGGAGAGGUCGGAGGUGUUGCCUCUCUGGACCCCACUCCGUGAGCCCCAGUACUGGUGGUAGGGGUGGGGGUCUCCCAGGGCUCUGAGUGUGCAAGUGAACAUGGAAGGAGCUGCCUGGGUGGGGUGGGGGCUCUUGGGGGGGCCCCUGAGCCCCUUCUCGGGGGUCUCUCAGAGAUGGAUUUUGGAACGCAGCUUCCCCUGGUGCCGGUUGUGGGAAGGACCUGGGGGCCCCGGCUGGUGCGCCCCAGGGGCUCCUGGGAGAGCGGCUGCCGUGUUUGCACUUUACAGAACGUGGGGCCGGCUCCCAAGAUAUUUUCUCAUUUUAGAAAAAUUGUUUGUGUUUUCAUUAUGAAAAUAAAACACCUCAUUAAGGGAAAUUUGGAAAAUAC
Molecule: long non-coding RNA, 4060 nt
Organism: Oryctolagus cuniculus (rabbit)
Lineage: Eukaryota; Metazoa; Chordata; Mammalia; Lagomorpha; Leporidae
Source: Ensembl